GUGCCAGCAGCCGCGGUAAUACAGAGGUGGCGAGCGUUGUUCGGAUUUACUGGGCGUAAAGGGUGCGUAGGUUGUUUUGUAUGUCGAAUGUGAAAGCCCACUGCUUAACGGUGGAAGGUCAUUCGAAACUGCAGGACUAGNAGUACAGGAGAGGAGAGCGGAAUUCUUGGUGUAGCGGUGAAAUGCGUUGAUAUCAAGAAGAACACCGGUGGCGAAGGCGGCUCUCUGGAAUGAUACUGACACUGAGGCACGAAAGCUGGGGGAGCAAACAGGAUUAGAUACCCUGGUAGUCCCAGCCCUAAACGGUGUCAACUUGGUGUCGGCGGUAUUGACCCCGCCGGUGCCGGAGCUAACGCGUUAAGUUGACCGCCUGGGGAGUACGACCGCAAGGUUAAAACUCAAAUGAAUUGACGG
Molecule: ribosomal RNA, 414 nt
Filed under: uncultured bacterium
Lineage: Bacteria
Description: bacterial SSU rRNA
Rfam family: Bacterial small subunit ribosomal RNA
Source: RNAcentral